UAGGAACCAGUUCACAUAGGCUAAGCAG
This 28-nucleotide non-coding RNA is filed under the name Cricetulus griseus (Chinese hamster). The record is from RNAcentral. Lineage: Eukaryota; Metazoa; Chordata; Mammalia; Rodentia; Cricetidae.